GAUAAUGACAUUCCCCUUCACAUUGUUAAUCUUAAUUGUACUGGUAAUGAAGAGAGUAUAUGGGAUUGCCCCUCAAGUACACAAGGACAGGAAUCCUGCACUGUAAACACUGAUGUAUCAGUUGCCUGUCAUGGUUUUGUUGUGGAGUAUUCUGAUUGUGCUAAUGGUCAGAUACAAUUAUCAAAUGGAACAAGCAAAA
Amphimedon queenslandica is the source of this 199-nucleotide long non-coding RNA. RefSeq lists it as uncharacterized. The transcript has 2 exons. The record is from RefSeq and is a predicted model, not a curated record. NCBI's taxonomy places the organism in Eukaryota, Metazoa, Porifera, Demospongiae, Haplosclerida, Niphatidae.